ACAGGCAAGCAUGAAUUAAUUAUCAAAGGACAGUCCCGGAUUUGAACAAAAGUACUUCCAUGUGGCAUAAGUUGAUACCAACAGCUUUUACUCGAACAAUGCAAGGAAAUGUGUAACCAUCACAGCUAAUGUGGUUCCUGAAAAGACUUCGAGUUGGAAGAUUGAUGUGUAGCCCUCCCUGGGGUCUUUAUCUGCUUAUAGGCACCACGGAACCCUCAAAAGGAGCUGAUUCUUGCCGCUGCCGCUGUGGAGCUGCUACGAAACCGCCACAGAAAUCAACAGUCCCUCUGUGCUAGUCCAACCAGCCCUGGUCCUUUCGGAGUUUGCAGAACGAGCACUGUUUCCACAGAGAACAAAGAAUUUCCUAAGAGCAAUCUUCCAAAACUUCUGAAAGAAAAUGGGGCGCCACUUCAUCAACUCCACCUAAUCCAACUUGAUACAUUUGAACUACAAGUACCACACUGAAACCUGUUUGGGACUACAUCGCUCUACACAACUCCAGACUAACUGAUAAGGGGUACCUUCUACAAUCUGGCCAGGGUCUCAGACAGGAGCGUCAAUCAACAUCAGAACUUCAGCCAAGAUCUUCAAUCAAGCAUCUCUGGUCAAACAGAGACUGGAGUACAAAUGUUGUAACUAGUCCACUUGAGACUUUCACUACAUUAACAUUGUCUGCCUACAGGAUCCCUUGAGGUUAUCAUCGUCCCAUUUCAGCAGGAAGUAAUUUUGAGAACACCAUGCUCCCUUUCGCUACUGUUUAUAUUACAGGAUAAUUUACACCUGUUAUGGUUAGUUUUCAAUUAUUCAGAGUUUGGAUUGGAAGAAGGUGUUCAGACUUGGGCACCUCUUUCAGAU
Long non-coding RNA from Mesocricetus auratus (golden hamster), 855 nucleotides. RefSeq lists it as uncharacterized. NCBI's taxonomy places the organism in Eukaryota, Metazoa, Chordata, Mammalia, Rodentia, Cricetidae. The record is from RefSeq and is a predicted model, not a curated record. The transcript is spliced from 4 exons.